GCCUCCAUAGCUCAGGGGUAGAGCACUUCUUUGGUAAAGAAGAGGUCUCGAGUUCGAAUCUCGAUGGAGGCUCCA
RNAcentral lists this transfer RNA (75 nucleotides) under bacterium. RNAcentral's name for it is "tRNA-Thr". It matches the Rfam family "tRNA". Rfam says of the family: Transfer RNA (tRNA) molecules are approximately 80 nucleotides in length. Their secondary structure includes four short double-helical elements and three loops (D, anti-codon, and T loops). The record is from RNAcentral.